Molecule: RNase P RNA, 315 nt
Filed under: human gut metagenome
Description: Bacterial RNase P class A
Rfam family: Bacterial RNase P class A
About the family: Ribonuclease P (RNase P) is a ubiquitous endoribonuclease, found in archaea, bacteria and eukarya as well as chloroplasts and mitochondria. Its best characterised activity is the generation of mature 5'-ends of tRNAs by cleaving the 5'-leader elements of precursor-tRNAs.
Source: RNAcentral
GUCGGUCGGACGAUAGCGCGGCAAUUGCCUCGAGGAAAGUCCGGGCACCGCAGAGCAAGAGCGCCGGCUAACUACCGGUGGAGGCGACUUCAAGGAAAGUGCAACAGAAAUAGACAUCGCGGAAACGCGUUAAGGUGGAAACGUGAGGUAAAAGCUCACGGGCGGUCCGGCGACGGUCCGCUCCUGUAAACCCCGCUCGGUGCAAGAUCGGGACGCUAAAGCCUGCUCGGCUGUCCCUUAUUUCGCUGGAACCGGCUGGCAACAGUCGGUCGAGAUAGAUUAUCGUCGAAUACAGAACUCGGCUUACAGACCGGA